This 700-nucleotide long non-coding RNA is filed under the name Junco hyemalis (dark-eyed junco). Its description in RNAcentral is "lncRNA (ENSJHYG00000001734.1)". The record is from RNAcentral. Lineage: Eukaryota; Metazoa; Chordata; Aves; Passeriformes; Passerellidae.
AUCCAGAGCUUAGAGAAAGGCUUCUCACGCUGUUUCCAGCAUGUGCUUUGUGGAGCACUGGAUGCAGGUCAGCUGCUUGCUGGUGCUCUUCUCCCAGCACACAGGAGAGGCUGUAAUGCAGGAUGGAUCCAGCCCCCACAGUAGGCAGAAGCGGGCACAGCAGAUGUGGUGGGCUGCCCUAGCUCCUGCAGAAGAUGUGUCACUGCAGCCACUGCAGCUGUGGUGCAGGCAAGUGUUGAGCUGCAACGGGAGGGAAAUUGCCAAAAACUCAUCUGAGAUCUUCAGCCAGGUGGUCCUGCACUGCACAGCUGGAACCGCUGCAAGAAAGACCUAUGUAUGUACAAAGCACGUGUUCUUUGGACAAUGCAUUAAUUCACUAAAAAGCGGACAGAUACAUUUCUUUUGGAUAGGUUUUUGGAUUUUCUGAUUUAGGGUAUUUGUGUUUUCUUUUGCUUCAUGUCUUUUUAAAGAAGUAAAUAGACUAAAAAUCAUAUAUGUUAAACAUGAUAGACCUGAGCUACUUUUUUCAGCUGGAACUGAAUAUAACAACAGUUUUAAAGCAGAAUGCUGUAUUUUGACCUGUUAAAAUUACAUGUAUCAUUUACAUGAAUCUGAAUUGGAGAAACUAUGUAUUUUAUUUAUAUAACCACUUUUUAUAAAAUCACCCAUAUGAACAGAAAUGUAUCUGUCAACGACGCAA